CUGUAGCUCAAUUGGAUAGAGCAUCUGACUACGGAUCAGAAGGUUGCAGGUUCGACUCCUGCCAG
RNAcentral lists this transfer RNA (65 nucleotides) under bovine gut metagenome. It matches the Rfam family "tRNA", at positions 5 to 66 of the family's 71-position model. Rfam says of the family: Transfer RNA (tRNA) molecules are approximately 80 nucleotides in length. The record is from RNAcentral.